CGAGUGUAGGGUUCCUAGCGAGCCCAACCUCCCACCCGGUUUACUGUACCUUAGUUGCUUCGGCGGGCCCGCCAUUCAUGGCCGCCGGGGGCUCUCAGCCCCGGGCCCGCGCCCGCCGGAGACACCACGAACUCUGUCUGAUCUAGUGAAGUCUGAGUUGAUUGUAUCGCAAUCAGUUAAAACUUUCAACAAUGGAUCUCUUGGUUCCGGCAUCGAUGAAGAACGCAGCGAAAUGCGAUAACUAGUGUGAAUUGCAGAAUUCCGUGAAUCAUCGAGUCUUUGAACGCACAUUGCGCCCCCUGGUAUUCCGGGGGGCAUGCCUGUCCGAGCGUCAUUGCUGCCCAUCAAGCACGGCUUGUGUGUUGGGUCGUCGUCCCCUCUCCGGGGGGGACGGGCCCCAAAGGCAGCGGCGGCACCGCGUCCGAUCCUCGAGCGUAUGGGGCUUUGUCACCCGCUCUGUAGGCCCGGCCGGCGCUUGCCGAACGCAAAUCAAUCUUUUUCCAGGUUGACCUCGGAUCAGGUAGGGAUACCCGCUGAACUUAAGCAUAUCAAUAAGCGAGGAAAAGAAACCAA
This 573-nucleotide ribosomal RNA is filed under the name Aspergillus sp. BAB-3488. Its description in RNAcentral is "eukaryotic LSU rRNA". The stretch from base 181 to 334 matches the Rfam family "5.8S ribosomal RNA". The record is from RNAcentral. Lineage: Eukaryota; Fungi; Ascomycota; Eurotiomycetes; Eurotiales; Aspergillaceae.